RNAcentral lists this ribosomal RNA (600 nucleotides) under uncultured soil bacterium. RNAcentral describes it as "bacterial SSU rRNA". It matches the Rfam family "Bacterial small subunit ribosomal RNA", at positions 8 to 654 of the family's 1533-position model. The record is from RNAcentral.
AGAGUUUGAUCCUGGCUCAGAGCGAACGCUGGCGGCAGGCCUAACACAUGCAAGUCGAACGCCGUAGCAAUACGGAGUGGCAGACGGGAUAGUAACACGUGGGAACGCGCCCUUCGGUUCGGAAUAACUCAGGGAAACUUGAGCUAAUACCGGAUACGCCCUUACGGGGAAAGAUUUAUUACCGAAGGAACGGCCCGCGUCGGAUUAGCUAGUUGGUGAGGUAAUGGCUCACCAAGGCGACGAUCCGCAGCUGGUCUGAGAGGAUGACCAGCAUCACUGGGACUGAGACACGGCCCAGACUCCUACGGGAGGCAGCAGUGGGGAAUAUUGGACAAUGGGCGCAAGCCUGAUCCAGCCAUGCCGCGUGGAUGAUGAAGGCCCUAGGGUUGUAAAGUCCUUUUAACGGGGAAGAUAAUGACGGUACCCGUAGAAUAAGCCCCGGCUAACUCCGUGCCAGCAGCCGCGGUAAUACGAAGGGGGCUAGCGUUGCUCGGAAUUACUGGGCGUAAAGCGCACGUAGGCGGGUCGAUAAGUCGGGGGUGAAAUCCUGGAGCUCAACUCCAGAACUGCCUUCGAAACUGUCGAUCUUGAGUUCGGGAG